CCUACGGGAGGCUGCAGUGAGGAAUAUUGGUCAAUGGACGAGAGUCUGAACCAGCCAAGUAGCGUGAAGGAUGACUGCCCUAUGGGUUGUAAACUUCUUUUAUAUGGGAAUAAAAUGUUCCACGUGUGGGAUUUUGUAUGUACCAUAUGCAUAAGGAUCGGCUAACCCCGUGCCAGCAGCCGCGGUAAUACGGAGGAUCCGAGCGUUAUCCGGAUUUAUUGGGUUUAAAGGGAACGUAGGUGGAUUGUUAAGUCAGUUGUGAAAGUUUGCGGCUCAACCGGAAAAUUGCAGUUGAAACUGGCAGUCUUGAGUACAGUAGAGGUGGGCGGAAUUCGUGGUGUAGCGGUGAAAUGCUUAGAUAUCACGAAGAACUCCGAUUGCGAAGGCAGUUCACUGGACUGCAACUGACACUGAGGCUCGAAAGUGUGGGUAUCAAACAGGAUUAGAUACCCUAGUAGUC
Molecule: ribosomal RNA, 460 nt
Filed under: uncultured bacterium
Lineage: Bacteria
Description: partial 16S ribosomal RNA
Rfam family: Bacterial small subunit ribosomal RNA
Source: RNAcentral